This 119-nucleotide ribosomal RNA is filed under the name Olea europaea subsp. europaea. Lineage: Eukaryota; Viridiplantae; Streptophyta; Magnoliopsida; Lamiales; Oleaceae. The record is from RNAcentral.
GGGUGCGACCAUACCAGCACGAACGCACCGAAUUCCAUCAGAACUUCGAAGUUUAGCGUGCUUUGGCGAGAGUAGUACUGGGAUGGGUGACCCCCUGGGAAGUCCUCGUGUUGUACCCC